GACCCGAAACCGAGUGAUCUAACCAUGGCCAGGUUGAAGUUCCGGUAACACGGAAUGGAGGACCGAACCCACCAAUGUUGAAAAAUUGGGGGAUGAGCUGUGGUUAGGGGUGAAAGGCCAAUCAAACUCGGAGAUAUCUGGUUCUCGCCGAAAUGUCUUUAGGGACAGCGUCAUGAUAGUGUACCGGGGGUAGAGCACUGGAUGGGCUAGGGGGCCUACAAGCUUACCGACCCCAACUAAACUCCGAAUACCGGAUACAUGUUUCAUGGCAGUGAGACUGCGGGGGAUAAGCUUCGUAGUCAAAAGGGAAACAGCCCAGACCAACAGCUAAGGUCCCUAAAUCCAUGCUAAGUGAUAAAGGAUGUCAAAUCGCCCAGACAGCUAGGAGGUUGGCUUAGAAGCAGCCAUCCUUUAAAGAAAGCGUAACAGCUCACUAGUCGAGGGGUUUUGCGCCGAUAAUAUCCGGGACUUUUAAGCAUGGUACCGAAGCUUUGGUCCUAACACUUUUGUGUUGGGAGGUAGGCGAGCGUUCCAUUAACUGUUGAAGCUCGAGACGGGAGUCCGGGUGGAGGAGAUGGAAAUGAGUAUGCUGGCAUGAGUAGCGAUAAACACGGUGAAAUACCGUGUCGCCGAAAGCCCAAGGGUUCCUGAGUAAAGUAACUCUGCUCAGGGUUAGUCGGAUCCUUAGUCGAGGCCGAAAGGCGUAGGCGAUGGAAAACGGGUUUAAUAUUCCCGUACCGGCCUAUGGUUGUUUGAACUAAGGGGGGACGCAGAAGUGAAAGGUCAGCCCGGUUUUGAUUGUCCGGGUUUAAGUGUGUAGGAGGUUCUGGUAGGUAAAUCCGCCGGAAUACUCAACUCCGAGACACGAAUAGGAGGGCUUAGCCCAUAAACUGACCCUAACCAUGCUGCCAAGAAAAGCCUCUAUGUUAGAUCAUAAGCUGACCGUACCCUAAACGGACACACGUGGGCGAGGAGAGAAUCCUAAGGCGCUUGAGAGAAUCCAAGUAAAGGAACUCGGCAAAUUAGCCCCGUAACUUCGGGAGAAGGGGUGCCCUUAUUAGGUGAAGUCCCUUGCGGAUGGAGCUGAAAGGGGUCGCAGUGACCAGGCCCGAUCGACUGUUUAUCAAAAACACAGGUCUCUGCUAAGUCGUAAGACGAAAUAUAGGGACUGACACCUGCCCGGUGCCGGAAGGUUAAAUGGGGGGGUUAGCACUUCGGUGCGAAGCUCUGAAAUGAAGCCCCGGUAAACGGCGGCCGUAACUAUAACGGUCCUAAGGUAGCGAAAUUCCUUGUCGGGUAAGUUCCGACCUGCACGAAUGGUGUAACGAAUUGGGCACUGUCUCUACUUGGAGCUCAGCGAAAUUGAAGUGUCGGUGAAGAUGCCGGCUACCCGCAGCAGGACGAAAA
RNAcentral lists this ribosomal RNA (1407 nucleotides) under metagenome. RNAcentral's name for it is "bacterial LSU rRNA". It matches the Rfam family "Bacterial large subunit ribosomal RNA", at positions 712 to 2086 of the family's 2925-position model. The record is from RNAcentral.